Lepisosteus oculatus (spotted gar) is the source of this 119-nucleotide ribosomal RNA. Lineage: Eukaryota; Metazoa; Chordata; Actinopteri; Semionotiformes; Lepisosteidae. The record is from Ensembl.
AUCAGCAGCCAUAUCACCCUGCAACUCACGACUGGCAACCCAUUGAAGCUAAGCAGGUGUGAGCCUGGUCAGUACCUGGAUGGGAGACCUCCUGGGAAAAACUUAGGUUGCUGCUGGAA